AUUUUUUUGAGCCUCUUUCUAUUUUCUGAAAGUCUUGGUUAGUCAUGAAAACAUGAACAAGUCACAUGUGAAGAAACAAAGAUUUUGCAAACUGUGUCUGUCAACAACUUGCAAUGAAGAGCAGAUGCGGCGGAAGCAGUUGUUACUGAAGACAGUCCUGGGCUCAGCAGCUGAGGCGGACACGCUUCCAGGGAGCUGGCCCCGCCCACUCUCACCUCUUCGGGCAGCGGAGAAGGUGGCUCGUACACAGCUCUCACACGCCUUGCUGUUUGGAGCUCAGACAUCUCUCUCCAUCAUGGUUUCCCA
Molecule: long non-coding RNA, 306 nt
Organism: Lagenorhynchus albirostris (white-beaked dolphin)
Lineage: Eukaryota; Metazoa; Chordata; Mammalia; Artiodactyla; Delphinidae
Exons: 3
Source: RefSeq, a predicted model, not a curated record